Molecule: ribosomal RNA, 585 nt
Filed under: uncultured bacterium
Lineage: Bacteria
Description: bacterial SSU rRNA
Rfam family: Bacterial small subunit ribosomal RNA
Source: RNAcentral
CCUACGGGAGGCAGCAGUGGGGAAUUUUGGACAAUGGACGCAAGUCUGAUCCAGCCAUGCCGCGUGCGGGAAGAAGGCCUUCGGGUUGUAAACCGCUUUUGUCAGGGAAGAAACGGGUUUCUCUAAUACAGAGACCUAAUGACGGUACCUGAAGAAUAAGCACCGGCUAACUACGUGCCAGCAGCCGCGGUAAUACGUAGGGUGCAAGCGUUAAUCGGAAUUACUGGGCGUAAAGCGUGCGCAGGCGGUUAUGCAAGACAGAGGUGAAAUCCCCGGGCUCAACCUGGGAACUGCCUUUGUGACUGCAUAGCUAGAGUACGGUAGAGGGGGAUGGAAUUCCGCGUGUAGCAGUGAAAUGCGUAGAUAUGCGGAGGAACACCGAUGGCGAAGGCAAUCCCCUGGACCUGUACUGACGCUCAUGCACGAAAGCGUGGGGAGCAAACAGGAUUAGAUACCCUGGUAGUCCACGCCCUAAACGAUGUCAACUGGUUGUUGGGAGGGUUUCUUCUCAGUAACGAAGCUAACGCGUGAAGUUGACCGCCUGGGGAGUACGGCCGCAAGGUUGAAACUUCAAAGAAUUGACGG